UCCUACAACCUGGCUUUGGCCUAUUACAG
RNAcentral lists this non-coding RNA (29 nucleotides) under Homo sapiens (human). The record is from RNAcentral. Lineage: Eukaryota; Metazoa; Chordata; Mammalia; Primates; Hominidae.